Molecule: long non-coding RNA, 544 nt
Organism: Lontra canadensis (Northern American river otter)
Lineage: Eukaryota; Metazoa; Chordata; Mammalia; Carnivora; Mustelidae
Exons: 2
Source: RefSeq, a predicted model, not a curated record
ACACCUGUUAUUCUACCUGAAAACCAAUUUCAACCCCAUGUCCCCGAAGUUCCUUUUUCUGAGCAGGCUCUGGAGCCAAGAGCUGAACAAGAAACACCUCCUGAGGAGCUCUUUGAAGACUUCCUAAGCAGAUCCAGAGCACAAGUGUUCAGUAUCACAAUGGCUUACGAGAAAUCAGUGAGAGAAGAUGGCAGAGAAGUGACUGGAAAAACUGAAUCUCCCUCCCAGGAAGGAGUCAGGAGAGACUGUGUUGUUGUUGAGGGAAAAAUCCUAAAAACAAAGCGAAUGGAAACACGUUUUUCUGUGAGGGGGAUAAGAAAGGGAGGGGAGCACCCCCUUGUAUGGUUUAUGAGUCAUUUCCUGGUUUAAUUCUUCCUGUUUGUCCUUGGUUUUUCCACAAGUACCCAGUGAGGCCCGACCUUCCACCCUCACCACCCCUCCAGCGUCAUGAUUACUGCAGUCCUGGUGUUUGGGCGAAUGGCAGGGACUCUGGGGCACUUUGAUGUUCAAAGCUGUUAAAAUGACAUCUAAAUUUGCAAACUUU